Non-coding RNA from Cinara cedri, 264 nucleotides. Lineage: Eukaryota; Metazoa; Arthropoda; Insecta; Hemiptera; Aphididae. The record is from the annotation of a GenBank genome assembly.
CCUGUGCACAAUAAAAAUAAUAUAGCCGACAUGCCGACAUCAUCAUCGUCGUCGUCGUCCGUUUCGUUUUUACCGAAUAAAUCAAUCAAACAAUGGGAGGCAGGUAUCUCUGAUAUUAUUUCGUCGGGGGACACGUGUAUACAGGCACUUCUCUCUCUCUCUCUCUCUCUCUCGUUCUCUCUGUCUCUCUAUGUCGCGUAUAAUGUAAACACCGUGCAUUAUCGGUACGGACGAUCCUUCGCGAUUAUUGAAAAAAAAAACAAA